This 825-nucleotide long non-coding RNA is filed under the name Bos taurus (domestic cattle). RNAcentral describes it as "long non-coding RNA NONBTAT024631". The record is from RNAcentral. Lineage: Eukaryota; Metazoa; Chordata; Mammalia; Artiodactyla; Bovidae.
AAAAAACUAUCCUUUUUUACAUGCUCCUUUAGCUUCAUACAACAAUAAGUAGUCUUCUUACACUAGUAUGUUCUUGCAAAAUAUUAAUCUAAUUACUUAAAACUUGGAAGUAAAUUACAAUGUUGAAUCUAAGAAGGAAAACAUCUUUUAUUACAGGUUAUUGCUUUGGGAACAUAAAAGUACUUCUCUUAAUUUGAACCUGACAUAAUUACCACUAAUUAUAGUUUAAAUAAAGUUCUCUCCUGCGGAGAUGCCGAGGAAAUCCAUGCAGGAAGAAUCAGAUUCCACUUCCUAAUUAAAAGGUCAAUGGCUGUUCUGAUCAUUCCCUAUCGCUGAAGGAGGAAAAAGAAUAAUCAUUUUGGCUACCAAAUCUUUCUUAAACUUGUGAGGGUGGCCAAAGAGGACAUGAAGCUCUCCUGGUCAUUCAAAAAGCCUAGAAGUCAAUUCUAACUUCCUUAAUUUUUUAGACUUCUUGAAAACUAGCCAGAAAACUCAUAGACGUACAAAAUUUUCAAAAAACUGACUCCAGCAGAGAGGAAAUACAAUUUCCAUGAAAGGCUUUUGAGAUCCUUGCAAUAUAUGGGUUUGAGCACUCCAGUGUGCAAUUUCUGUGCUGUUUCCAGUUGAUUACUUUGGUAUGUGGGGUUGUCCUGGGAAUGAUUUCAGCUCUUUCUUAUAAGAGAGCAUCUCAUCAUGUUCUCCUAUGUUCUCUAUUUUCUUUUUUCUUAACUGCUCAAGCUAUCCGCAAUCAUUUUUUAAUUUACUGAAAUAAAGGUUUUAAGUGCUAAAUGCAAAUUUUCUGAUUCAAUUAAAUAAAAGCUGCAA